This 523-nucleotide ribosomal RNA is filed under the name uncultured bacterium. Its description in RNAcentral is "partial 16S ribosomal RNA". It matches the Rfam family "Bacterial small subunit ribosomal RNA", at positions 28 to 523 of the family's 1533-position model. The record is from RNAcentral.
GACGAACGCUGGCGGCGUGCCUAAUACAUGCAAGUCGAACGCUUUUUCUUUCACCGGAGCUUGCUCCACCGAAAGAAAAAGAGUGGCGAACGGGUGAGUAACACGUGGGUAACCUGCCCAUCAGAAGGGGAUAACACUUGGAAACAGGUGCUAAUACCGUAUAACACUAUUUUCCGCAUGGAAGAAAGUUGAAAGGCGCUUUUGCGUCACUGAUGGAUGGACCCGCGGUGCAUUAGCUAGUUGGUGAGGUAACGGCUCACCAAGGCAACGAUGCAUAGCAGACCUGAGAGGGUGAUCGGCAACACUGGGACUGAGACACGGCCUAGACUCCUACGGGAGGCAGCAGUAGGGAAUCUUCGGCAAUGGACGAAAGUCUGACCGAGCAACGCCGCGUGAGUGAAGAAGGUUUUCGGAUCGUAAAACUCUGUUGUUAGAGAAGAACAAGGAUGAGAGUAGAACGUUCAUCCCUUGACGGUAUCUAACCAGAAAGCCACGGCUAACUACGUGCCAGCCGCCGCGGUAA